UACGUAGGUGGCAAGCGUUGUCCGGAUUUAUUGGGCGUAAAGCGCGCGCAGGUGGUUUCUUAAGUCUGAUGUGAAAGCCCACGACUCAACCGUGGAGGGUCAUUGGAACCUGGGAGACUUGAGUGCAGAAGAGGAAAGUGGAAUUCCAAGUGUAGCGGUGAAAUGCGUAGAGAUUUGGAGGAACACCAGUGGCGAAGGCGACUUUCUGGUCUGUAACUGACGCUGAGGCGCGAAAGCAUGGGGAGCGAACAGG
Molecule: ribosomal RNA, 253 nt
Filed under: uncultured bacterium
Lineage: Bacteria
Description: partial 16S ribosomal RNA
Rfam family: Bacterial small subunit ribosomal RNA
Source: RNAcentral